Molecule: ribosomal RNA, 468 nt
Filed under: uncultured bacterium
Lineage: Bacteria
Description: partial 16S ribosomal RNA
Rfam family: Bacterial small subunit ribosomal RNA
Source: RNAcentral
GACGAACGCUGGCGGCGUGCUUAACACAUGCAAGUCGAACGGAAAGGCCCUGCUUUUGUGGGGUGCUCGAGUGGCGAACGGGUGAGUAACACGUGAGUAACCUGCCCUUGACUUUGGGAUAACUUCAGGAAACUGGGGCUAAUACCGGAUAGGAGCUCCUGCUGCAUGGUGGGGGUUGGAACGUUUCGGCGGUUGGGGAUGGACUCGCGGCUUAUCAGCUUGUUGGGGGGGUAGUGGCUUACCAAGGCUUUGACGGGUAGCCGGCCUGAGAGGGUGACCGGCCACAUUGGGACUGAGAUACGGCCCAGACUCCUACGGGAGGCAGCAGUGGGGAAUAUUGCACAAUGGGCGGAAGCCUGAUGCAGCAACGCCGCGUGCGGGAUGACGGCCUUCGGGUUGUAAACCGCUUUCGCCUGUGACGAAGCGUGAGUGACGGUAAUGGGUAAAGAAGCACCGGCUAACUACGUG